Molecule: ribosomal RNA, 476 nt
Filed under: Theileria sp. Giraffe 2
Lineage: Eukaryota; Apicomplexa; Aconoidasida; Piroplasmida; Theileriidae
Description: SSU rRNA
Rfam family: Eukaryotic small subunit ribosomal RNA
Source: RNAcentral
GUCUUGUAAUUGGAAUGAUGGGAAUUUAAACCUCUUCCAGAGUAUCAAUUGGAGGGCAAGUCUGGUGCCAGCAGCCGCGGUAAUUCCAGCUCCAAUAGCGUAUAUUAAAAUUGUUGCAGUUAAAAAGCUCGUAGUUGAAUUUCUGCUGUCUUGUUAUUUCUCCUUGACGAGUUUUGACAUGAUGGCUUAUUUCGGGCAUUGCUUUGCAUUGCCUGAAUGUUUACUUUGAGAAAAUUAGAGUGCUCAAAGCAGGCUUUAGCCUUGUAUAGUUUAGCAUGGAAUAAUGAAGUAGGACUUUGGUUCUAUUUUGUUGGUUUUAGGUACCAAAGUAAUGGUUAAUAGGAACAGUUGGGGGCAUUCGUAUUUAACUGUCAGAGGUGAAAUUCUUAGAUUUGUUAAAGACGAACUACUGCGAAAGCAUUUGCCAAGGAUGUUUUCAUUAAUCAAGAACGAAAGUUAGGGGAUCGAAGACGAUC